Non-coding RNA from Crucibulum laeve, 98 nucleotides. NCBI's taxonomy places the organism in Eukaryota, Fungi, Basidiomycota, Agaricomycetes, Agaricales, Nidulariaceae. The record is from the annotation of a GenBank genome assembly.
UCUCUGUUAGUAUAUCGGUUAGUACACGCGCCUGUCAUUAUGGUUGAAUGUACUCGUUAUGACCGCGCGAAAGCUGGGUUCGACUCCCAGACAGAGAG